Molecule: unclassified non-coding RNA, 222 nt
Filed under: uncultured Caryophanaceae bacterium
Lineage: Bacteria; Bacillati; Bacillota; Bacilli; Caryophanales; Caryophanaceae
Description: uncultured Planococcaceae bacterium contains 16S-23S intergenic spacer region
Source: RNAcentral
UCCGGUUUGUCACCGGCAGUCACCUUAGAGUGCCCAACUGAAUGCUGGCAACUAAGAUCAAGGGUUGCGCUCGUUGCGGGACUUAACCCAACAUCUCACGACACGAGCUGACGACAACCAUGCACCACCUGUCACCGCUGUCCCCGAAGGGAAAGAUAUAUCUCUAUACCGGUCAGCGGGAUGUCAAGACCUGGUAAGGUUCUUCGCGUUAGCCUAUCGAGA